GUUCAAAUUAAUGUUGUAAUUAGACACUUUAUCAGGGCUUCAGAAAUGCCUAUCUACUAAAUUUUUAGUUCUUUUUCUGAGACCAACUAAUGCGAAAAGUAAAGAAAUAAAGAAUUUGAAAACGAGAAGCAUUUUUUUAUGAAACUAGAUGGAACAAAAAACAACAAAGCUAGCAGUUAUUAUCUAUACUUCUACCAGGUCUGAGUCUCACCUGUUUAGACUGUAGGCGUUGUUGUUGCCCCCGCCGCCGCUCGACUUGCCGCCCUUGCCAGGACACAGGUGGAAGGCGCCGUAGAUGAGCGGGUUGACCAGGCUGUUGGACAUCCCGAAGAAGAAUAUGGCGUCCUGCAGAUCGUCGCCCAGCUGCAAGUAAUGCGGAAAAUUCAAAUUAAUUUUCUUCCCAUUCAGCCGACCCUUUUGUGGGAUUUGUUUGUGUUCAAGUGGGCCCAUUGUGGGCGUUUUGCGGCUGGACUCCACAUCCUGGUUACUCAGAAUACCCUCGAUACCCACAGGUCCUUGCUGGGUGGACGCAGCUUAAGAAAAUCCCGAAGCAAUCACUCGUCCUAAUGUUUAAGUCAUGCUUAAAACACUGGAGGUGCAAAGAUGUAUUAUUAACGAAAGGAUUAAAGGAGCCAUGCUCUUAUUUGAAUUUAAACUA
Drosophila ananassae is the source of this 658-nucleotide long non-coding RNA. RefSeq lists it as uncharacterized. The record is from RefSeq and is a predicted model, not a curated record. The transcript has 2 exons. Lineage: Eukaryota; Metazoa; Arthropoda; Insecta; Diptera; Drosophilidae.